RNAcentral lists this long non-coding RNA (1358 nucleotides) under Salmo salar (Atlantic salmon). Its description in RNAcentral is "lncRNA (ENSSSAG00000104903.1)". Lineage: Eukaryota; Metazoa; Chordata; Actinopteri; Salmoniformes; Salmonidae. The record is from RNAcentral.
GGCUGUGAGUCGGUCUGGCUAAUAGUCUAUACAUAGUGGCUGUGAGUCGGUCUGGCUAAUAGUCUAUACAUAGUGGCUGUGAGUCGGUGUGGCUAAUUGUCUAUACAUAGUGGCUGUGAGUCGGUCUGGCUAAUAGUCUAUACAUAGUGGCUGUGAGUCGGUGUGGCUAAUUGUCUAUACAUAGUGGCUGUGAGUGUGUGAGAGAUAAGAACACAAUGAUUAGUCCUAAAUGUCCUGAGACAUCACACUGAGACAACAGAACAGAGAAGGUCAGAACAGUACAGAACAGAGCAGAACAGAACAGAACAGAGCAGAGCAGGUCACAACAGAAAAGAACAGAGCAGAACAGAACAGAGCAGAGCAGGUCACAACAGAAAAGAACAGAGCAGAUCAGAACAGGUCAGAACAGAACAGGUCAGAACAGAACAGAAAAGAACAGAGCAGGUCAGAACAGAAAAGAACAGAGCAGAACAGAACAGAGCAGAUCAGAACAGAGCAGGUCACAACAGAAAAGAACAGAGCAGAGCAGAACAGAGCAGAUCAGAACAGAGCAGUGCAGAACAGGUCAGAACAGAACAGAAAAGAACAGAGCAGGUCAGAACAGAAAGGAACAGAGCAGGUCAGAACAGAACAGAACAGGUCAGAACAGAACAGAACAGAGCAGAACAGGUCAGAACAGAGCAGAACAGAGCAGAGCAGAAAAGGUCAGAACAGGUCAGAACAGAGCAGAGCAGAAAAGGUCAGAACAGGUCAGAACAGAGCAGAGCAGAACAGGUCAGAACAGAACAGAGCAGAACAGAACAGAGCAGAGCAGGUCAGAACAGACCAGAGCAGGUCAGAACAGUGCAGAGCAGUGCAGAGCACAACAGAGCACAACAGAGCAGGUCAGAACAGUGCAGAGCAGAACAGAGCAGAACAGGUCAGAACAGAGCACAACAGAACAGAGCACAACAGUGCAGAACAGAGACCUUAAUAACUACAGGCUUAUCUCUGACACACAACACCUAAGCUACACUCAUACACAGUCUGACUGUGACACAGGAUUUUAUCAGCGAAACUAAUUCAAAUAUGUCAAUCUCUUACAGAUCCUAAAGUAAACACAGGUAACCUCCAUUUGCACUGUGGUUUCCUUGUUCAUAUGUCUAAGUUCAUGUCAACAUCUCUCAACGUCUAGAUUCCAAACGGUGCCAGUCGGCCCUGAGUGUCAAACAGACCAGGGGACGAGGCCCCGCCGGCUGUCUGAGGAACGGACCAGGGGACGAGGCCCCGCCGGCUGUCUGAGGAACGGACCAGGGGACGAGGCCCCGCCGGCUGUCUGAGGAACGGACCAGGGGACGAGGCCCCGCCGGCUGUCUGAG